AGUGAACGCUGGCGGCAGGCCUAACACAUGCAAGUCGAGCGGCAGCGCGGGGGCAGCCCUGGCGGCGAGCGGCGGACGGGUGAGGGAAUGCAUCGGAAUCUACCCUGUCGUGGGGGAUAACGUAGGGAAACUUACGCUAAUACCGCAUACGACCGAGAGGUGAAAGUGGGGGACCGCAAGGCCUCACGCGAUUGGAUGAG
Molecule: ribosomal RNA, 200 nt
Filed under: uncultured bacterium
Lineage: Bacteria
Description: partial 16S ribosomal RNA
Rfam family: Bacterial small subunit ribosomal RNA
Source: RNAcentral